AUCAAUUACUUUUCUGAGCACAGGAAUAACAGGCUUAAUCCUGCUCCACUGGAUUUCUCUACAUAAAAAUGACAAGAACUAAGAUGAUGAAGAUGAUAAUGGGCAGUUGCUUUUUUUUUAGUUUCCUUACAGCAACUCAAGGUUUUAUUCAAAUAUUUCAAGAAAAUUUCCAGAAUUCUCUU
RNAcentral lists this long non-coding RNA (182 nucleotides) under Ictidomys tridecemlineatus (thirteen-lined ground squirrel). RNAcentral's name for it is "lncRNA (ENSSTOG00000030556.1)". Lineage: Eukaryota; Metazoa; Chordata; Mammalia; Rodentia; Sciuridae. The record is from RNAcentral.